This 479-nucleotide long non-coding RNA is filed under the name Setaria viridis. Its description in RNAcentral is "long non-coding RNA (SVIR_LNC004187)". Lineage: Eukaryota; Viridiplantae; Streptophyta; Magnoliopsida; Poales; Poaceae. The record is from RNAcentral.
UGUAGUCAUUCAGCGAGCAAGCAAUCGCGUGAAGAACCUUCAGCGUGCAAUGGCUUCGGUGGCCUACUCUCGCCAGGACUGUGCACGCAGUGCUAAUGAUGGGAAUGCAAGGUUGCAGCAAAAAAUAGUGAGGGAGAAAGACAGAGGUCUCCUAAACAGGAGUACGUGAGAGUAUUCGUGUUUUGCACAUAUGAGAACAAGAGGACGUGCCGCUCUUAUAUAAGCUCCAUGGGGUGAGGUUCAUCGAACCUGAACGUCAUAAUGCGAUGGAAGGUACUAGUAAGCACUAUUAACUCUUAGCACUUUAUUGGCUAUGUUAAUUGAGUGAACCAAUUCUCAUAAACAAUAAUAAUCACCUCUCCUCAACUUCCCAUUCAAAAUUGACCAAUUAAUAACUCAUAGCAUUUAAUCAUGGACCUUUAAUUCUUAUUCAAUUAAUUGAAAUAAAUGGGCCUAAUUCAAUUAAUCUAACAAUCCCC